UACGUAGGUGACAAGCGUUGUCCGGAUUUACUGGGCGUAAAGAGCGCGCAGGCGGUCGUUCAGGUCGAGUGUGAAAGCCCCCGGCUCAACUGGGGAGGGUCACGCGAUACUGAUCGACUCGAAGGCAGGAGAGGGUAGUGGAAUUCCCGGUGUAGUGGUGAAAUGCGUAGAUAUCGGGAGGAACACCAGUGGCGAAGGCGACUACCUGGCCUGUUCUUGACGCUGAGGCGCGAAAGCUAGGGGAGAAAACGGG
RNAcentral lists this ribosomal RNA (253 nucleotides) under uncultured bacterium. RNAcentral's name for it is "partial 16S ribosomal RNA". It matches the Rfam family "Bacterial small subunit ribosomal RNA", at positions 524 to 776 of the family's 1533-position model. The record is from RNAcentral.